ACUGCUAUCGGAUUGAUACUAAGCCAUGCGAGUCUUUGUAGUAAUACAAGGCAGACGGCUCAGUAACACGUAGUCAACCUACCCUAUGGACAAGAAUAAUCUCGGGAAACUGGGCAUAAUUCUUGAUAGAUCAUAAUGCCUGGAAUGGUUUAUGGUUAAAAUGAUUCGUCGCCAUAGGAUGGGACUGCGGCCUAUCAGCUUGUUGGUGAGGUAAUGGCCCACCAAGGCGAUUACAGGUACGGGCUCUGAGAGGAGAAGCCCGGAGAUGGGUACUGAGACACGGACCCAGGCCCUAUGGGGCGCAGCAGGCGAGAAAACUUUGCAAUGUGCGAAAGCACGACGAGGUUAAUCCGAGUGAUUUCUGCUAAAGAAAUCUUUUGCCAGUCAUAAAACCACUGGUGAAUAAGGGGUGGGCAAGUUCUGGUGUCAGCCGCCGCGGUAAAACCAGCACCUCAAGUGGUCAGGAUGAUUAUUGGGCCUAAAGCAUCCGUAGCCGGCUUUGUAAGUUUUCGGUUAAAUCCAUGUGCUCAACGCAUGGGCUGCCGAAAAUACUGCAUGGCUAGGGAGUGGGAGAGGUAGACGGUACUCAGUAGGAAGGGGUAAAAUCCUUUGAUCUAUUGAUGACCACCUGUGGCGAAGGCGGUCUACCAGAACACGUUCGACGGUGAGGGAUGAAAGCUGGGGGAGCAAACCGGAUUAGAUACCCGGGUAGUCCCAGCUGUAAACGAUGCAGACUCGAUGAUGCAUUGGCAUAAUAGCCAGUGCAGUGUCGCAGGGAAGCCGUUAAGUCUGCCGCCUGGGAAGUACGUACGCAAGUAUGAAACUUAAAGGA
RNAcentral lists this ribosomal RNA (832 nucleotides) under uncultured marine group I thaumarchaeote. RNAcentral describes it as "SSU rRNA". It matches the Rfam family "Archaeal small subunit ribosomal RNA", at positions 26 to 863 of the family's 1478-position model. Lineage: Archaea; Thermoproteati; Nitrososphaerota. The record is from RNAcentral.